AACAAAAUUGCCUUUGAUUCAAAUAGAGUAUAUUAAGAUUGAUGAGUACAUCUUACUAUGAUUACACGUUUACUCCUUUUUUAUGAGGAGAACAAAAUAUACAACAUGUAAGAUUGAGUACUCCUUUUUUUAUGAGGAGAAAGAAAUAUACAUGUAAGAUUGAGAAGUACACUUUACUCAACAUGGAUCACUAAACUUAGAGCUAACAUGGCUAUCAUUAGAUGCUUCUCAGAAUUCCCAUAGGCAAUCAAAUAUUGUUGAUUCUCUAAUAACUUGAUCAGUGACUUGAAGUUAGAUGUUGUUGGCUCUAAUAUUGUGCAGUCUUGUAGAUGAAAGUGCCCUCUUCCCACCGACGCCCAAGUAGAACACAACUUUAUGAAUGACACUAUCACACAAUCAUCAAAAGAAAGAGCCCAAUAACUAUUCACACCAGUUAACAUCCCGUAAAUAAAGUAAGUAAUUUCAACGGCAAUUAUGUUCUUAAAUAAUAGACAUUGUGCACUAGAAUCUGCUUUCAUUUACAAGUAGGCCUGUCACUCUAUUCAAUUUCUGAAAAAGCGGAUCGACCAGUGCCUGGGCGGCCGCCUAGGCGGAUUUCUCUAGGCGGCUGCCUAAACCCACCUAGGCGGGGGCGGAAUUGUGGCUUCUUGAGGGUAUUUUUGGGUAAUUUUUGUAAUACUAAAGAGGCAAAAUUAUGGGUUUUAGAUUCACUUGAACCCUAAAACUCAUUACAAGCUAUUUUAGAGAGAAAAAACCCAAAAAAAAAAAAUUUUACGGGGUCGCCUAGGUUUUGAGCACCCGCCUAGGCGCUAGGCAGCCUAGACCCCCCGACUGCACGAUUAUUCAAGUUCAAUAAACUAAAGGGUGAUUCAAGUUCAAUUGCAACUAGGGCAGCAAAUAUGAGGAAAGCUUACACAACAUUCCCAAAUCUAAUAAUAAUCACACCCACCAUAUAACUGUUACUUGAGUGAUACUUUCUUGCUUGGUAAAUUGGGAUAUGAAUUUUGAUACUGAUUUUGAUAUCUUUAACUGCUGCAUCGUAGACAACCUCAUUGAGCGAGAGAGAGAGAGAGAGAGAGA
This 1080-nucleotide long non-coding RNA is filed under the name Amborella trichopoda. RNAcentral describes it as "long non-coding RNA (ATRI_LNC001269)". Lineage: Eukaryota; Viridiplantae; Streptophyta; Magnoliopsida; Amborellales; Amborellaceae. The record is from RNAcentral.